GAUCAUGGUCAGGAUGAACGCUAGCUACAGGCUUAACACAUGCAAGUCGAGGAGCAGCAUUUUAGUUUGCUUGCAAACUGAAGAUGGCGACCGGCGCACGGGUGAGUAACACGUAUCCAACCUGCCGAUAACUCCGGAAUAGCCUUUCGAAAGAAAGAUUAAUACCGGAUGGCAUACGAAUAUCGCAUGAUAUUUUUAUUAAAGAAUUUCGGUUAUCGAUGGGGAUGCGUUCCAUUAG
Molecule: ribosomal RNA, 238 nt
Filed under: uncultured bacterium
Lineage: Bacteria
Description: partial 16S ribosomal RNA
Rfam family: Bacterial small subunit ribosomal RNA
Source: RNAcentral